UACGUAGGGCGCAAGCGUUAUCCGGAAUUAUUGGGCGUAAAGAGCUCGUAGGUGGUUUGUCGCGUUGUUCGUGAAAACCGGGGGCUUAACCCUCGGCGUGCGGGCGAUACGGGCAGACUUGAGUACUGCAGGGGAGACUGGAAUUCCUGGUGUAGCGGUGGAAUGCGCAGAUAUCAGGAGGAACACCGGUGGCGAGGGCGGGUCUCUGGGCAGUAACUGACGCUGAGGAGCGAAAGCGUGGGGAGCGAACAGG
RNAcentral lists this ribosomal RNA (253 nucleotides) under uncultured bacterium. Its description in RNAcentral is "partial 16S ribosomal RNA". It matches the Rfam family "Bacterial small subunit ribosomal RNA", at positions 524 to 776 of the family's 1533-position model. The record is from RNAcentral.